CCGAUGGCGUGUUGCAGGCGCUCUCGUAGUAAUGCGUUGGCGCCCACGCCGCCGGCCACCACGAGUGCCGUGGGCGCCAACGCAUGCGUGCGACACCAUUUAAAUGCGUGCGCCGUGCGCGACACGAGUUGGUCGACAAUCUCUGCCUGCACCGCUGCGGCGAUAGCACUGGCCUCAUCGGCGGGCCUCUCGCGCGCCAAUGCCGCCGCGCGGUCGCGCAGGCCGGCAAAGGAAAAGUCGCAGCCGUUGGGCCAUGCGUCGUCGCAGAUCACAGCGUUGGUGACGUGAGCAUUCUUUGCGGCCAGUUCGAUGGCCCUGCCGCCAGAACCCGCCGCGUCGAGGUCGAGCGCGAGGGCGCGCGCCACGGCGUCCAACGCCUGGCCCGGCGCGCAGUCGAGCGUCUGUCCGAGCCGCCUGUAGUCGCCCAAAUCAUAGGCCAACACCAACUGGCACGACCCGCCCGAGGCCAGCAGCACCAAAAAGGGAAAACAAAGUUGGCGAGCGCACACGCCUGCCACAAGGGCGUGGCCUUCCAAGUGGUGGGUGGGCACCAGCGGCUUGUUGUGCAGCGCCGCGAGUCGCACGGCCUCGUCCACGCCGGCCAUGAGACCGCCCAUCAUGCCGGGACCCACUGUCACCGCGAUGCUGUCUAUGGCGUCCCAGUCUGCGCCCGAGGCCGCGACCACGCGGGCCACGAGCGGUCCCACGGCCUCGCGGUGGACGGCCGCAGCGUGCUCCUUGUCAAUGUCGGCUUGGUGAGCGUGGUGGCCCCACGACGUGGCCACCUCAUGCGCCAGGACGGCCGGAGGCGCACCGCCUCCGACCUGGAGCACGGCGACGCCCGUGUCGUCGCAACUCGACUCGAUGCCGAGCACAGUGACGCGGCGCUCAAACUGGACGCCCGUGGCGCACAUCCCCGAGGACACGGAAGCGGUGCCCAUCGAGCCUGCGCCAUCCGGCAUACACUUGCUUUGCAAUUGCCUGCAAUUCGACGACGAUGACAUCUGGUUUUUCUUCUCUAUCCUUUUAUUGUGCCUUUUUUCCUUGGUAUUCCUCCUCGUAGGGGUGUUGUUCCGGUUACGGCGGUCGAUUAUUCAAUGAAGGAGAUCUUUUUUUAGCGCGC
This 1123-nucleotide long non-coding RNA is filed under the name Pandoravirus quercus. RNAcentral describes it as "hypothetical ncRNA". The record is from RNAcentral.